AGCGAACGCUGGCGGCAUGCCUAACACAUGCAAGUCGAACGAACUCUUCGUAGUUAGUGGCGGACGGGUGAUUAACACCUGGGAACUUGCCCGUAGGUUCGGUACAACUCAGUUUAACUUGUCCUAAUGCCGCAUGUGCCCUUCCGGGGUAAGAGUUAUCGCCUUUAGCGCGGGGCUCGUCUGAUUAGCGAGUUGGUGAGGUAAAGGCGCACCAAGGACACGAUCAGGAGCUGGUCUGGGAGGAUGAUCAGCCACAUUGGCACUGCGACACGGCCCAACACGGUACGGGAGGGAGGGGUGGGGAGUAUUGCGGAAUGGGCGAUAGUGUGACGACGCCAUGCCGGGUGAAUGGUGAAGGUGUUAGGAUUGUGCAAUUCUUUCAGAGGGGACGAUAAUGACGGUAACGGGAGAAGAAGCACCGGCUAACUUCGUG
This 433-nucleotide ribosomal RNA is filed under the name uncultured bacterium. RNAcentral describes it as "partial 16S ribosomal RNA". It matches the Rfam family "Bacterial small subunit ribosomal RNA", at positions 29 to 507 of the family's 1533-position model. The record is from RNAcentral.